CUGAAGUCCAGAGAGGUUGAGUGACUUCCCCAAGGUCACACAGCCUGCCAGGAGCAGAGCGAGGAUCAGAAUCCAGGUCUGCCUGACUUUAGAGCCCAGAUUCUUGUUCACCAUGGCGCACCUCGGAGGCCCUAAUUCAAAGAGAGCCCAGAACGUUCCCUGCGUGGAGGACUGUUGGAGCCAGAGAGGCUUUGAAGAUUACCUCCUGGGAUCUGCUCCCGUGUCCGUGUAGACGAGGCCCACGGGUGAUGCCUGUGGCCGAGCUAGGACCACCACCAACCCUGCCUCAGCCCCAGCUCCCAGGAACCCACAGACGCAUCCCAUCUUUUUCCUCCAAGGCGGUUCCAGGCACCAGCCAGCUCAGAG
Long non-coding RNA from Zalophus californianus (California sea lion), 366 nucleotides. RefSeq lists it as uncharacterized. Lineage: Eukaryota; Metazoa; Chordata; Mammalia; Carnivora; Otariidae. The transcript is spliced from 3 exons. The record is from RefSeq and is a predicted model, not a curated record.